AUGUCGGCCGGGCCCGGGCGCGACGACGCGGGGAACGGGGGCGCGCGGCGGCCGCGGGAGACGGCGGAGCAGGAGCUGCAGCGGCGCCGGGAGCAGAAGCGGCGGCGGCACGACGCGCAGCAGCUGCAGCAGCUCAAGCACCUGGAGUCCUUCUAUGAAAAACCUCCUCCUGGGCUUAUCAAGGAAGAUGAGACGAAGCCAGAAGACUGUAUACCAGAUGUACCAGGCAAUGAACAUGCCAGGGAAUUUCUGGCUCAUGCUCCAACGAAAGGACUUUGGAUGCCACUGGGGAAAGAAGUCAAAGUUAUGCAGUGUUGGCGUUGUAAACGGUAUGGUCACCGAACAGGCGACAAAGAAUGCCCUUUCUUUAUCAAAGGCAACCAGAAGUUAGAACAGUUCAGAGUUGCACAUGAAGAUCCCAUGUAUGACAUCAUCCGAGAGAACAAAAGACACGAAAAGGAUGUAAGGAUACAGCAGUUGAAACAGUUACUGGAGGACUCUACCUCCGAGGAAGAUGGGAGCAGCUCCAGUUCCUCAGCAUGCAAAGAGAAACACAAGAAAAAGAAGAAGAAAGAAAAACAUAAGAAAAGGAAGAAAGACAAGAAGAAGAAGAAGAAACGAAAGCAUAAGUCUUCCAAGUCGAAUGAGAGUUCAGACUCGGAUUGAUGAGGACUUGACUGGUUGAGCAUUGUCUCCCCACAGAUCAGACACUGUGGCCAAAGACCAGAGGCCACGGUGGAGGCGGGGAGGACGAGGAGGGAGCCGCCAGAGAGCAGGGGAUUCGACGUCACCCGUGUGAAUCCUCACCUGCCUUCCAGCAAAGAUGUGACCCCAGGAGGGCCAGCCUCCACUUGUGCCCUGGACGCCGACUCUCAGGAGUUAGAGGGCAGUGAUUAAGAGCACUGGCUCCGGAUCCAGACUGCCUGGUUUUGAAUACCAGCUGCACCAUUCCUGAGCUAUCAGAUUAUACAAGUUGCCUGACCAUUCUGUGCUGCCAUUUACUUGAUGGAUAAUAUUUACCUCAUAGAAUCAUCAAGAAUGAAAGGACUCAAUACUUGUAAAACAUUUAGAACACAGUUUGGAACAUUUCAAUUGCUAAAUGAAUGUUAGUUGUUCCUGCUGCUACUUAUGCUAUCAUCAUUAUCUGUUCCUGCUUCCUCACGGAUCUUCCUUCCUUACCUCAUCACACUCCGGUCUUCACAUUCUUUCUUCCUUUCAACUGUUGCCACCAGCAUUUAAAAACUAUUUUAAAAUUGUAAAUGGAGGGGCAUCUGGCAGGCUCACUCUGUAGAGCAUGUUGACUCUUGAUCCCAAGGUUGUGAGUUCAAGACCCAUGUCGAGCAUGAAGUCUUCUUUAAAAAAAUUUUUUUGUAAAAUUUGAAAAGUAAUAACCUGCUCAUCCCAAUUCAACUGUCCUACGACUUCAUCUCACUUACUAUACACCUUGGCAGUCUCACUGCUUCCUACAAGCUUUAAGUGGCCACAAAAUUCCUUGGUUGGAAUGUGCUACCUAACCAUUUAACCAUUCUUUAUGCAGUUAAUUAUUUUGGGUUGAAAGCAAUCAAAACCCAGCAGAUUUAGAAAAAGCUCUUUACCUCCCCCUCAACUGCCUGCCUGUACAAGGAAGAGAGCUAUUAACAGAUUCCUCUUUAUCUAAGAUGCUUAUUUGUAUAAUAAUAGGGCAGCCUUUGUUUUCCAGACAUCUGUCACCUCCCUGCUGUCUUGCUCAGUCCCCUGUUCCUCUUAGCUCAUGUGUCUUACUGCUUCACUGUCUUUGGAAUUUCAUAUGUAGGAAACUGUAUUUGAUUUGUCUCAUUUCUCAUAUCAAUUUGAUUCUUAGUCCAGCUAAAAGAACCUUAAAGGGCAGAGAACAUUCUCCCUCCACAACCACCACAUACAUAUUUCUCACAAAUCACUAUACCACAGAAGGGCAAAUAUCUUAAAUAAACAAGAAUCUGUUAAUAGCUCUCUUCCUGGUACAGGCAGGUAGUUGAGGGGGAGGUAAGUAAAAAAGCUUUUUCUAAAUCUGCUGGGUUUUUAUUGCUUUUAACUCAAAAUAAUGUUCAUGUCAAAGUAACCCAUUUGGGGCAGCCUGCCAUUGGCUCCUACAUGGUCAUUCAGAUUACCAAAAUAUAUUUCUCAUAUACAUUUGGUCUUUAUCCAUAGUUUCUAGCUCAUAUCUCCCCAAAACACUUGUAAUCUCAUGAGUGAUAUGAGCAAUGGGAGCUUUUUAUUAUUAUUUUUUUUAAUAUUUGGUCUCCUGUCCCCAAUUCCUAAAAUCACUUCAGAGCCAUAAGGGCAAAACUGGUGUUUUGUUACUCUAACAAGCCCCUUUCCACCAAAACUGGGUUUAUGUUAAUGAGUUGAAUUUUGGAAACCACCUAAGGACGGGGACUUGUUGCCAUGUAUAGCAUCAGGAAUUUUCAGUCCUACCCCCUGAUUUUAGGGGAGGGUAAAAGUAGGUUGAAUUAAUCACCAAUAGGCCAUUAUUUCAUCAAUUGUGCCCAUGUAAUAUGCGUCUAGUAUGGUUUGGAGAGCUUUCUGGAAGAGUGGCACCCCUGGAUAGGGCAUAGAAGCUCCUCACCCCUUCCCACAUACUUUGCCCUAAGCAUCUGUUCCAUCUGGCUGUUCCUGAGUUAUAUCCUUUUAUAAUAAACCAAUAAUCUAGUAAAUAAAA
This is an RNA transcript of Canis lupus familiaris (dog), 2677 nucleotides long. It is a transcript of the gene named RP9 pre-mRNA splicing factor, with no coding region annotated. The record is from RefSeq and is a predicted model, not a curated record. The transcript has 7 exons. NCBI's taxonomy places the organism in Eukaryota, Metazoa, Chordata, Mammalia, Carnivora, Canidae.